GACGGAGGAUGCAAGUGUUAUCCGGAAUCACUGGGCGUAAAGCGUACGCAGGUGGCUUAUCAAGUCUGUUGUUAAAGCGCAAGGCUUAACCUUGUAAAGGCAAAAGAAACUGAUAGGCUAGAGUGUGGUAGGGGCAGGAGGAAUUCCCGGUGUAGCGGUGAAAUGCGUAGAUAUCGGGAAGAACACCAGCGGCGAAAGCGUCCUGCUAAGCCAUAACUGACACUCAUGUACGAAAGCUAGGGGAGCGAAUGGG
This 253-nucleotide ribosomal RNA is filed under the name uncultured bacterium. RNAcentral's name for it is "partial 16S ribosomal RNA". It matches the Rfam family "Bacterial small subunit ribosomal RNA", at positions 524 to 776 of the family's 1533-position model. The record is from RNAcentral.